UCGAUGGCAGAGUGACUGAGUUACUUUACAUAAUUUACUAAGUUAUAAUAAGUCAUAAUUAAAUAUUAUUGUUUUACUGCUUAUUCGAUAAUAAAUCAGCUAAAAACUAAAUACACUUGUAAAGUUUGAUAGUUGUUGACCAUUUUGCAAGGCCUACUUGAUUAACGAUGAAAAUUACAAAGUAAAGUAUAUUUUUUGGGAUUAUUUUAAGAACUGUAAAAGAUAGAUAUAGGUAUAGGUUGCAAAAAAUCACCUCAAAUGUAGAUGUUCUUUCGAUUUCCUUUAACAAAAUAGGGUCGUUCUGUUUGAAAAAAAAUGAAUUCUAGUCGUAUUUUAAUCAUCAUUUUGAAAAAAUCAUAUUAGCCUUGAAUUUUGACAGUUGCUUUAAAAAUUCUAGAAGGCCCUUCCAACUUUCGGUUAUCGAAUGCAAAGUAAAAUAUUCACUUAUCGCAAAGGGUCCAAAAUUUUACAAAAAUGACAUAUGUCAAAAACUAUGCCAGAUAAGUACCAAAACUUUAUUUUGAAAAGGAAAUUCAAAAAUGAAAAAUGCAAUAAAAAUGUGUGGUUACUAUUUAGUAUUAGAAUUUAAAAGUUUCUAGUGUGAACUUAGAAGAAUAACCCUGUAUAUACCUAUACGAAAAACGAGUUUAAUUGUAACAUUAUUUCCUCAAUUUACCACAGUUACUCAACUCGUCCAUUAAUUUUUAAGCCACGAAAAACACAGGAUGUUUGUUGCUUAAGUGAAAGUUUUCACUCGUGUAAUUCGGACAUUUUUGACAGUUGUUUAGCUUUCUACAGUUAACGAGGUGGCGCCGAGCCGGACACGGCCGUCUUGAUUACUUUAAUCUUUUUUUGAGGAUGAUGAUGCGGCACAAACAGUUCCUGCAUCUUUAAAUUUCAAGGUCGUGUCGUCACCACGUUUCAAAUACUAAUUACUUGUACUUUGCUUAAAAAAAAUCAAGUCUGCAUGAACCGUUGUAGGCUUAAGAUAAGGGAGAUAAUUGCCAACAACGUAAUUACGAAUUGUACUAUCAUUUAAUGUACUAUAUUGUAAAAAUAGAUUAGAGUGCUGUGAAAAUUUGACAGUUGGCCGCAUCAUGGCCCACUUUUCGAACGUUGAAAGUUUAUCAAAAAUGGGCCAAAAGGAUAAGUUUGGACGGAAAUAGACAAAACACAUUGAUAGUUUCUGCAUGUGUUUAUUUAUAAUUAAUGAAUCAAAGGUCGCGAUGCGAGAAUAAUUUACGCAAAAUCGUGACGUCAGCAUAAACAAGUUGAAAAUCGUCCAUUUUUAUAAAACAAAAGAACAGUCAUGUGAUGCCAAUGCCACCAUAAAAAAGGAACUAAAUCAUGUAUUUAUUCCGCAUCGUGAGUUAUAUUUUUAUCCGUUUGUGAUAAGCAGGUACAACAAAGACCAUUUUUUAACACGACUUAAUUACAACUCAAACAAUAACAGAUGAAGACAAUGAAUUGAAUCAAGGCUAGUUUUUUCCGAAACUUUCCUUCGAACAAUUGAGACAAAGAAGCGCAACGACACGUAAUUAAUUAGAUAAAAAUAUGUAAAUUUAUGCCGGAAGUUCAGCAAAACCGCAAGUUUCAAGGCUUGACAGAUAAUUUUCGAUCUAGUUACCUGGUUUUUGGAGGAAGUUGCUCCAAGGCCGCCUUUGCUUACUUAACUGUUUAGCGUGCUGUCAUGUGAGGCCAUUUUGGUGGAUGCGCCGGUCCCAGCCUACUUGUUUUUCUCAUUUACGUAAUUAUUUAUGUAAGCACAGUCUACUUUCAUCGCAGAUUUCGACUGACCUUGAGUGUGUUUUGUUUAAUUUUGACCUACUGCAAUUGUUAUAUAGUUAGCCUCGAUUUAACAAACGAAAAAUAAGAGUAACCACCGGUAAAUCCAGUUGGCCGCGUUUGUAAAAUUUACCGCAUCAUCGAAGAAUGCCGCGGUGAUCAUAGCCUACUUUCCCGUAACCCAGUUCAGCGAAAGUAAGAUGAGUGGUUGCAGUUGUUACGUAACUGUGGUGCAUCGAACCUAUAGGGACCUUCGUUUUUUUAACCCUAAUUAUAGGUUUGUAAGCAUCGCGUGGCUUGGCCACGUCACUUAUCGGACGACGUGUAGUUUAUUGACCAGACUGAUACGCGGAAGAAACAAUUAAACCUUGAAUGUUCUAGUGGAGUAGGCCAUGACUGAGGAACUGAAGAAUUUGCUCGCCUUCAAUUGGCACGACUGUGUCAUAAUGAGUGGUUUGUGGGAACGCCCACAAAAAGUAGGACCUUCGAUUGUCUUUUGUCGGUUUUUUAACAAUUGAAAAUACAGUGUUGCCAACUCAAAAUAUGCAGCAAUCAAAGCCGACUGUUUUCACCAAAUUAGAAAAUUAAAUAUAUGCAAUAUUGUGUACAAGAUUUAAUUUGGUGUUUUUUUUUGUCCGAAAAAAUAAAGAUAUUUUAAUUAUCGUUUUA
Long non-coding RNA from Tribolium castaneum (red flour beetle), 2454 nucleotides. RefSeq lists it as uncharacterized. The record is from RefSeq and is a predicted model, not a curated record. The transcript is spliced from 2 exons. Lineage: Eukaryota; Metazoa; Arthropoda; Insecta; Coleoptera; Tenebrionidae.